RNAcentral lists this ribosomal RNA (207 nucleotides) under uncultured bacterium. RNAcentral's name for it is "partial 16S ribosomal RNA". It matches the Rfam family "Bacterial small subunit ribosomal RNA", at positions 568 to 774 of the family's 1533-position model. The record is from RNAcentral.
CGCGUAGGCGGUUUGGCAAGUCGGAUGUGAAAGCCCCGGGCUUAACCUGGGAAUUGCAUUCGAUACUGUCAGGCUGGAGUGUAGUAGAGGGAAGCGGAAUUCCGGGUGUAGCGGUGAAAUGCGUAGAGAUCCGGAGGAACAUCAGUGGCGAAGGCGGCUUCCUGGACUAACACUGACGCUGAGGUGCGAAAGCGUGGGGAGCAAACA